This 2929-nucleotide ribosomal RNA is filed under the name Escherichia coli. Its description in RNAcentral is "23S ribosomal RNA". It matches the Rfam family "Bacterial large subunit ribosomal RNA". The record is from RNAcentral. Lineage: Bacteria; Pseudomonadati; Pseudomonadota; Gammaproteobacteria; Enterobacterales; Enterobacteriaceae.
GGGUUGUGAGGUUAAGCGACUAAGCGUACACGGUGGAUGCCCUGGCAGUCAGAGGCGAUGAAGGACGUGCUAAUCUGCGAUAAGCGUCGGUAAGGUGAUAUGAACCGUUAUAACCGGCGAUUUCCGAAUGGGGAAACCCAGUGUGUUUCGACACACUAUCAUUAACUGAAUCCAUAGGUUAAUGAGGCGAACCGGGGGAACUGAAACAUCUAAGUACCCCGAGGAAAAGAAAUCAACCGAGAUUCCCCCAGUAGCGGCGAGCGAACGGGGAGCAGCCCAGAGCCUGAAUCAGUGUGUGUGUUAGUGGAAGCGUCUGGAAAGGCGCGCGAUACAGGGUGACAGCCCCGUACACAAAAAUGCACAUAUUGUGAGCUCGAUGAGUAGGGCGGGACACGUGGUAUCCUGUCUGAAUAUGGGGGGACCAUCCUCCAAGGCUAAAUACUCCUGACUGACCGAUAGUGAACCAGUACCGUGAGGGAAAGGCGAAAAGAACCCCGGCGAGGGGAGUGAAAAAGAACCUGAAACCGUGUACGUACAAGCAGUGGGAGCACGCUUAGGCGUGUGACUGCGUACCUUUUGUAUAAUGGGUCAGCGACUUAUAUUCUGUAGCAAGGUUAACCGAAUAGGGGAGCCGAAGGGAAACCGAGUCUUAACUGGGCGUUAAGUUGCAGGGUAUAGACCCGAAACCCGGUGAUCUAGCCAUGGGCAGGUUGAAGGUUGGGUAACACUAACUGGAGGACCGAACCGACUAAUGUUGAAAAAUUAGCGGAUGACUUGUGGCUGGGGGUGAAAGGCCAAUCAAACCGGGAGAUAGCUGGUUCUCCCCGAAAGCUAUUUAGGUAGCGCCUCGUGAAUUCAUCUCCGGGGGUAGAGCACUGUUUCGGCAAGGGGGUCAUCCCGACUUACCAACCCGAUGCAAACUGCGAAUACCGGAGAAUGUUAUCACGGGAGACACACGGCGGGUGCUAACGUCCGUCGUGAAGAGGGAAACAACCCAGACCGCCAGCUAAGGUCCCAAAGUCAUGGUUAAGUGGGAAACGAUGUGGGAAGGCCCAGACAGCCAGGAUGUUGGCUUAGAAGCAGCCAUCAUUUAAAGAAAGCGUAAUAGCUCACUGGUCGAGUCGGCCUGCGCGGAAGAUGUAACGGGGCUAAACCAUGCACCGAAGCUGCGGCAGCGACACUAUGUGUUGUUGGGUAGGGGAGCGUUCUGUAAGCCUGCGAAGGUGUGCUGUGAGGCAUGCUGGAGGUAUCAGAAGUGCGAAUGCUGACAUAAGUAACGAUAAAGCGGGUGAAAAGCCCGCUCGCCGGAAGACCAAGGGUUCCUGUCCAACGUUAAUCGGGGCAGGGUGAGUCGACCCCUAAGGCGAGGCCGAAAGGCGUAGUCGAUGGGAAACAGGUUAAUAUUCCUGUACUUGGUGUUACUGCGAAGGGGGGACGGAGAAGGCUAUGUUGGCCGGGCGACGGUUGUCCCGGUUUAAGCGUGUAGGCUGGUUUUCCAGGCAAAUCCGGAAAAUCAAGGCUGAGGCGUGAUGACGAGGCACUACGGUGCUGAAGCAACAAAUGCCCUGCUUCCAGGAAAAGCCUCUAAGCAUCAGGUAACAUCAAAUCGUACCCCAAACCGACACAGGUGGUCAGGUAGAGAAUACCAAGGCGCUUGAGAGAACUCGGGUGAAGGAACUAGGCAAAAUGGUGCCGUAACUUCGGGAGAAGGCACGCUGAUAUGUAGGUGAAGUCCCUCGCGGAUGGAGCUGAAAUCAGUCGAAGAUACCAGCUGGCUGCAACUGUUUAUUAAAAACACAGCACUGUGCAAACACGAAAGUGGACGUAUACGGUGUGACGCCUGCCCGGUGCCGGAAGGUUAAUUGAUGGGGUCAGCGCAAGCGAAGCUCUUGAUCGAAGCCCCGGUAAACGGCGGCCGUAACUAUAACGGUCCUAAGGUAGCGAAAUUCCUUGUCGGGUAAGUUCCGACCUGCACGAAUGGCGUAAUGAUGGCCAGGCUGUCUCCACCCGAGACUCAGUGAAAUUGAACUCGCUGUGAAGAUGCAGUGUACCCGCGGCAAGACGGAAAGACCCCGUGAACCUUUACUAUAGCUUGACACUGAACAUUGAGCCUUGAUGUGUAGGAUAGGUGGGAGGCUUUGAAGUGUGGACGCCAGUCUGCAUGGAGCCGACCUUGAAAUACCACCCUUUAAUGUUUGAUGUUCUAACGUUGACCCGUGAUCCGGGUUGCGGACAGUGUCUGGUGGGUAGUUUGACUGGGGCGGUCUCCUCCUAAAGAGUAACGGAGGAGCACGAAGGUUGGCUAAUCCUGGUCGGACAUCAGGAGGUUAGUGCAAUGGCAUAAGCCAGCUUGACUGCGAGCGUGACGGCGCGAGCAGGUGCGAAAGCAGGUCAUAGUGAUCCGGUGGUUCUGAAUGGAAGGGCCAUCGCUCAACGGAUAAAAGGUACUCCGGGGAUAACAGGCUGAUACCGCCCAAGAGUUCAUAUCGACGGCGGUGUUUGGCACCUCGAUGUCGGCUCAUCACAUCCUGGGGCUGAAGUAGGUCCCAAGGGUAUGGCUGUUCGCCAUUUAAAGUGGUACGCGAGCUGGGUUUAGAACGUCGUGAGACAGUUCGGUCCCUAUCUGCCGUGGGCGCUGGAGAACUGAGGGGGGCUGCUCCUAGUACGAGAGGACCGGAGUGGACGCAUCACUGGUGUUCGGGUUGUCAUGCCAAUGGCACUGCCCGGUAGCUAAAUGCGGAAGAGAUAAGUGCUGAAAGCAUCUAAGCACGAAACUUGCCCCGAGAUGAGUUCUCCCUGACCCUUUAAGGGUCCUGAAGGAACGUUGAAGACGACGACGUUGAUAGGCCGGGUGUGUAAGCGCAGCGAUGCGUUGAGCUAACCGGUACUAAUGAACCGUGAGGCUUAACCUUACAACGCCGAAGCUGUU